GAUGAACGCUGGCGGCGUGCUUAACACAUGCAAGUCGAACGGAAAGGCCAGUGCUUGCACUGGUACUCGAGUGGCGAACGGGUGAGUAACACGUGGGUGAUCUGCCCUGCACUUCGGGAUAAGCCUGGGAAACUGGGUCUAAUACCGGAUAGGACAAUGGUUUGGAUGCCGUUGUGGAAAGUUUUUUCGGUGUGGGAUGAGCUCGCGGCCUAUCAGCUUGUUGGUGGGGUAAUGGCCUACCAAGGCGUCGACGGGUAGCCGGCCUGAGAGGGUGUACGGCCACAUUGGGACUGAGAGACGGCCCAGACUCCUACGGGAGGCAGCAGUGGGGGAUAUUGCACAAUGGGCGCAAGCCUGAUGCAGCGACGCCGCGUGGGGGAUGACGGCCUUCGGGUUGUAAACUCCUUUCGCUAGGGACGAAGCGUAUUUGUGACGGUACCUGGAGAAGAAGCACCGGCUAACUACGUG
RNAcentral lists this ribosomal RNA (468 nucleotides) under uncultured bacterium. Its description in RNAcentral is "partial 16S ribosomal RNA". It matches the Rfam family "Bacterial small subunit ribosomal RNA", at positions 28 to 507 of the family's 1533-position model. The record is from RNAcentral.